Molecule: long non-coding RNA, 1865 nt
Organism: Cucurbita moschata (crookneck pumpkin)
Lineage: Eukaryota; Viridiplantae; Streptophyta; Magnoliopsida; Cucurbitales; Cucurbitaceae
Exons: 3
Source: RefSeq, a predicted model, not a curated record
GCUAUAUAUUCACCCUAAGAAUAACCCAAAUUCGGGGGUUCAGAAUAAGCCCAACCUAGGCUGCAACUUCGUCCGUAGGCCUCUCUCGAUGAUUGUGCUCUGCAAAUCGAUCAUCUGUUUGGUUGCAAGGAAAAUCAAGGGAAAGGUGUACUUGUGGUGCUGUGGUUUUGGGGAAGAUUUUCUCCAGCUUUAACUCUGUUUCGCCAAAGAAACAAUCAACAAUCACUAGAACAAGCUGAAGUUCCAAUGGUCUGAUGACACCACCCUCCUCCUUUGUUCCGGGCUUGGGACCGGCUGCGUAGAAGAAUUGAUGCUUGAUGCAUGACACAGGCAGAGUUAUCACGUCAUUGUAAGUUGUAGACUAAGAGACUGUAAAAGAGGUUAAACUAAACACACACACAAACCACGCACACACACACAAACCACGCACACACACACACACACGGGCAUGGACUCUAGUGCAUCUUCUGUCGAAAUCACAUGAAUGAGAUGAUAAAGGGUAGCAAGCAGGAGCAGCCACCUGCCAACAACCAGAUCCAAGCGUAGCUUUGAGGGACUAGUAGACCUGCUGAUAUUAUGCAGACGCCAAUUGCAAGAAAAAGAGUACCGAGUUUUUCCAAGAGAAGUGCAAAUCUUGGGAAUGCAUUCUUAAGGAAAACUCCAGCAUACGAAACUGCAAAGCUGAUCAACACAACAGCAACAAAUAGACCUGUGGGAAGCGGAGAAGAUCGAGUGGGAUCACUGAUGGACAAAGGUAAAAUUGCCUGAAAAGCGAGAACAAGGUUUAUCUUCCCAAGAUUCUGAGGGCUGUUGGCUGGUUGAGGCCUAGGGCUAUGCAUUUUGAUGGUAAUUGACUGGAAUUCUAAUUGCGUGGCUAAUCCCCAUUCCCUGGUAAGACUACUCAUAUCCAGGGAGGUUUCUUGUUGUGUGGCUGAAUCCAUUGGGGGGAAACAAUAAGGAUUUGGUCAAUGUUCUUCAAGUGGUUUCCCUAAGUUCCAUUCAAUCGGGGAGUUCCCUUUUUAUAUACGCUGCAUGGAGAAUUCUGGAAUAUAGAGGGGGGGGAAGUUUCACUGAUUCUCCUGCAAGUUUUUUUCUUGAAAAAAAGAAAGUAGAUUUUGUGGAAAUUUUGAUCAAUUGGUGUGGAAAUGCUUUUAAAGUUUAGUUAUCUAUAUAACUAUAUAUUGGUUUAAAAAAGACAAUCAUAGCCCUUUGGCCCCACAUCCCACUUUAGUCCCUUUAGGGAAAUUUCUCAAACGACUUGGGGAGCAAGUUGUUCCCUAACGUAAUUUCCAGGAAAUUUCCUAAACGCUCCUACUUAUAAGAUGUGCAAAGUAGCUAUAAUGAGCUGAGAUAUUCCUUCUUCCUCUCUGAAUGUAACGAACAUGAAGGAGAUGAUGAAAUCAGACCAAAAUGCUUUCGUCCCUCCGUUGACAAUACUUUUGAAGCCCAUUUUGUAUUUGUCUUUGAACACUCUCUCAAUCUUGUUGAUAUUAUCUGGAAGAAUUGAGGGAGGGGGGGUUGGUUUGAUUUUCGAUGGCUUAUCCAAUCCUUCCUCUGCCUUUGAUGCCUUCGUUUUGUCCAUUACCUUUGCUUUCUUAGGUGCUUUGGGUGCUCUUUUGAUUCCUCAUAAACCCAACUUAGCUACCUUUUAUACCUUGUAUUCUGUGGCUUCCAUGGCUUCUGCUUUGCUCCUGCUGAUUUGGGGGCUCUAUUACUCAUUCGGUCAUGGCAGAUACUUUACUACUGCCUAGAAUAUGAUAUGAUUGUCCUUUAAUAUUAUAUUUUUUCUUUCUUAUGUAUUCCCUCUCCAUCAUGUUAUCAUACAAGAAUGUCAAAUAAGAACGAUUUCAUCAUUUUGUACUUCA